GUUGAUCAGAGUCAAGACUGAAACAGAAAGUCUUUUAACUGCUGACCGUGUUUAUUAAAUGUGUUCACUGUACUCUGGAAUUGUGACCUUGUACAUUUAUUUAUUUCACAGACUUUAUCUUCAUUUAUGGACAGACAUGUCAUACAGAAACUGUCACACUUUUGUCACUUUGUUUUAUGUCUCAUAAUCCCACCUACAGAAUGAGCAGAUAAGAAAGGAAUGUGGUUGCUAAGGAGGUGUUGCUAUGGACACUGCUGUCACGCAGGUGCAGGGUGUGGGCUGUAGAAAACAGGAUGACACGGAAAUACAGGUUAGUUUGGUUUGUGGCUGUGACGGCACUUUACACACAGAUUUUACUUUUUAUUUUUCUCCUUAUUUUUGUAACUUUUUACUUGUUUUUCAUCAAACCUCCUCCAGUAACCUUUGAUUUACAGGAAAGCAAUCGGGUAUACCAAAGCUACACUUUCCAGAUUUUAGUGGAUUUUAUAUUUUUGUUUUUGAUUUUUUAUCAUAAUGGUCAGACGACUCUUUGAGGAUUUUGGAGAUCUCUUCAGAACAACAGUAACAGUUCCAAUCAGAGUCUGGAUUGUGGUUGAAGGUAUUUUGGACAAUUCCUCUUUACAAAACGUCUCUAGUUCAUUCAGAUUUGAUGGAUUCC
Molecule: long non-coding RNA, 658 nt
Organism: Astatotilapia calliptera (eastern happy)
Lineage: Eukaryota; Metazoa; Chordata; Actinopteri; Cichliformes; Cichlidae
Source: Ensembl